Long non-coding RNA from Tympanuchus pallidicinctus (lesser prairie-chicken), 1258 nucleotides. RefSeq lists it as uncharacterized. The record is from RefSeq and is a predicted model, not a curated record. The transcript is spliced from 3 exons. Lineage: Eukaryota; Metazoa; Chordata; Aves; Galliformes; Phasianidae.
UAUCCCUGAAUCUAGUCUUUCCAGGCUGGAGAUAUGUGGCCCAAGGGGGAAGUAGCUUGAAGUACCACUGACUUUGUUGUUCUACAGCCACUGGGAUCUGCUGUAGGUCCUUGGAUAACUCUAAGCACUCAGUCCCUUGGAUAUGCUCAGGUCUGAAACUUAAAGACAUGAUUGCUUUUUGCCUUCAGAAGCAGUAGGGCUGCUGGGAAAAUACUUGGGAUGCCCAAAGAGUUCUUCUCUACUUGACCCUGCUCUUCAUGGGAAGGAAGAAGAGGUGCAACUUGUUCUGCAGGACCUUCCCACUCAGCUGUCAAGAGAUGCCUGCCAGCUUUUCUCCUCUGGAUGAGAUCAAGACAGGAUGAUUUAGAUGACAUUACUGAAUUGACAAUGAGAGAAAUGGCUGCUGGAUGCAGCAAGCUGGAGGAGACUUGAGUAAAGGGACACGAUGGCAGAGAAAAGAAGCAGCAAAGCCCUUUCUGUGCAUGAAGACAAGAAACAGACUCUGCAGCUUCUUCUACGGUCAUUGUAAAAACACACAAAGUUUGACAUUUUACUUUGAUCCAGUUGGCCCUACCAAGACAAUACUGAGGCAAGUGGGAUGCAUGGAUUUAUCCUCUUUAUAUUCCUUUUCCUGGCAGCUGGACCAGCCUAGAACAUGAAUUUCAAACUCUGUAAUUAUAUCUACAUCUUUCAUUCCUACAGAAUGCUGACAGAUUAAGGAUGCGAUAAAGACUCUUUUGUCAUAAUAGAAAAGGGCUUGUAUGAGUUUUGCAAUGGAGGUAUGAUAAAGCUCUAAGAGGGCUGUACGAUUUUAUGCUAAUCCCUGAGAAGCAGAUCAAUAUCAAGGCAAAAGGCAUAAUGUUUUUACAAAGGGAGAGAUCAGCACAGAUGUACUCAGAUGAGAGGCAAGGCUACAAUCAAGUUGCCAGGUGAUGUUUGUCGUACAAAUCAUAUAAGAAAAGAUUUCCUCUUGCAGGCACAGUAAUCUUGUUUUUAUUCUUCAGGAACCAUAGAUGUUACGUUCCACAUAGAUGUGGAACGAGCCUAUCUGAACUGGUUUCUACAUCAGGUCUCUGAACUGCUUAUUGCUCUGUGUUGAUGCAUGGAGAUUUAUAUUGCCUGGAGACCACUCACGUACACUUAUGGACAUCAUUAAAAAAUUAAAUAACAUUUAAUCAUGUGCCUCAUGCAGAAUUCAUCAAUGACAGUGGAUAUUUCAAACAAGAGUAGGUUUUCCCCUGCUGUAAAUCAGUACAGA